CCCUUAGACGUUCUGGGCCGCACGCGCGCUACACUGACCAGUGCAACAAGCAUCCGUCCUUGGCCGACAGGCUCGGGCAAUCUUUGAACGCUGGUCGUGAUGGGGAUAGACUUUUGCAAUUUUUGGUCUUCAACGAGGAAUUCCUAGUAAACGCAAGUCAUCAACUUGCAUUGAUUACGUCCCUGCCCUUUGUACACACCGCCCGUCGCACCUACCGAUUGAAUGGUCCGGUGAAGCGUUCGGACCGUGGCCUUUGGACGGUUCGCCGUCUGUUGGCUGCGGGAAGUUCGUUAAACCUUAUCAUUUAGAGGAAGGAGAAGUCGUANCA
Molecule: ribosomal RNA, 328 nt
Filed under: uncultured eukaryote
Lineage: Eukaryota
Description: partial 18S ribosomal RNA
Rfam family: Eukaryotic small subunit ribosomal RNA
Source: RNAcentral